GCCAGAAAGUGGAAUGACGUCUCUCCUGUCUCUGGGCGAAAAACAGCAGGAGAUAUUGUCAGUGGUCAGGCUGAGAACAGUGACACUGGAGAUGCACGUUCAUGUAAAGACUCCAUUUUCUAUUUUCAGUGUUUGAACGAAAACAAGGUUUCCCGGUUGGAAUAUUAUCGCUAUUUUACAAGAAAAAUCGCAUAAAAAUUUAUUUUAAACAGCGUUUGACAUGCUUCGAAGUACGGUAAUGGAAUAUUCUGAAUUUUUUUGUCACGAUACGCGCCGGCGGGUCACCCUUCGGAUAGUGUCUUGAACGCAAGAACAAAACUCAGCUAUUUGGAUAUAACUAUGGAUUAUUUGGAACCAAAACAACAUUGGGUGUUGAAGUAGAAGUCCUGGGAGUGCAUUCUGAUGAAGAACAGCAAAGUUUGGAGGAAGAAGGAUACUUUGACCUGUCGUAUUUUAACCACGUCUUCUGUGUGGGAUAUGUGCUCCUACCUCGUCUGCGGGCAGAUCACAGAGAGUUGGAAUAAUCACCCUUUAAGUAUAGAGGCGAGCCUGACACCUCACCAGCUGUGGCAUAUUGGAAUGCUCCAAACACCUGUGCACAUUUUUGUUUUUGCCUUAGCACUACACAGCUGAUUCAAAUGAUCAAGUCAUCAUCAAGUUUCAAGUGGUUAUAUCAGCUGUGUUGGUGAACCCCUCCCGCAUCUGAACAGGCUGACACAGAGGGCACAGCAUGAUCAUAAGUGAGAGGUCACUUGGUUGGGUCAACAGUAUGUUUUGAUGUAAGAGAGGAAGCCAGUCCCGUCAUCGCCACCUCACCCGUUCUUAAGAUAACCUUUGGGCCAACUGUGGGCCCAUGCUGGUUAGGAGACACCGCUAGAGACACUGUAAUUGUGAUGAACUGAGAGAAUAUUAGGGUAGCUCUGUAAUUAAUUAAUGAUAUGCUGUCUGCCUCUGUUCUUACCUCUUUCCCUUUGUCUUCUACACCUCUCUCCCCACCUCAUCUUUCUUCCUUGUUUUAUAAUGCACAGCAUAUGUGCAUUGAAGUACAGAUUAAUAUUAUAUUAUAAAUACAAGUUCACAAUUAUCAUAAUUAUAAUGCAUGUAUUAUGUAUUUAUAACACCUGGAUAAUGAACUUCUUUCAAUAAAGCGUUUCACAUUCUCCACUGGUUGAAAUAUUAUCCUUUGUCCUCAGAUUAAUGCAGAUGAAGGGAGUUAGAUAUGCAUAGUUUUUUAUUCUGUAUAUAUGAAUUAAAAUCAGCCUUUAUUUAAA
Molecule: long non-coding RNA, 1271 nt
Filed under: Salmo salar (Atlantic salmon)
Lineage: Eukaryota; Metazoa; Chordata; Actinopteri; Salmoniformes; Salmonidae
Description: lncRNA (ENSSSAG00000088232.1)
Source: RNAcentral